AGCGAACGCUGGCGGCAGGCCUAACACAUGCAAGUCGAGCGCCCGUAGCAAUACGGGAGCGGCAGACGGGAUAGUAACACGUGGGAACGUACCCUUCAGUUCGGAACAACCCAGGGAACGUUGGGCUAAUACCGAAUACGUCCGUAAGGAGAAGAUUUAUCGCUGAAGGAUCGGCCCGCGUCUGAUUAGCUAGUUGGUGAGGUAAUGGCUCACCAAGGCGACGAUCAGUAGCUGGCUGAGAGGAUGAUCAGCAUCACUGGGACGUGAGACACGGCCCAGACUCCUACGGGAGGCAGCAGUGGGGAAGUAUUGGACAAUGGGCGGCAAGCCUGAUCCAGCCAUGCCGCGUGGAUGAUGAAGG
This 361-nucleotide ribosomal RNA is filed under the name uncultured bacterium. Its description in RNAcentral is "bacterial SSU rRNA". It matches the Rfam family "Bacterial small subunit ribosomal RNA", at positions 29 to 414 of the family's 1533-position model. The record is from RNAcentral.